RNAcentral lists this ribosomal RNA (721 nucleotides) under uncultured organism. RNAcentral's name for it is "bacterial SSU rRNA". It matches the Rfam family "Bacterial small subunit ribosomal RNA", at positions 622 to 1333 of the family's 1533-position model. The record is from RNAcentral.
GGCAUUGGAUACUGGCAAGCUAGAGUGCAGGAGAGGCAAGGGGAAUUCCUAGUGUAGCGGUGAAAUGCGUAGAUAUUAGGAGGAACACCAGUGGCGUAAGCGCCUUGCUGGACUGUAACUGACGCUGAGGGACGAAAGCCAGGGGAGCAAAUGGGAUUAGAUACCCCAGUAGUCCUGGCCGUAAACGAUGGAUACUAGGUGUCGCGGGUAUCGACCCCUGCGGUGCUGCAGCUAACGCAAUAAGUAUCCCGCCUGGGGAGUACGCACGCAAGUGUGAAACUCAAAGGAAUUGACGGGGACCCGCACAAGCGGUGGAACAUGUGGUUUAAUUCGAAGCAACGCGAAGAACCUUACCAGGGCUUGACAUCCCGAGAACUUUCCAGAGAUGGAUUGGUGCCCUUCGGGGAACUCGGUGACAGGUGGUGCACGGUUGUCGUUAGCUCGUGUCGUGAGAUGUUGGGUUAAGUCCCGCAACGAGCGCAACCCUCGUUGUUAGUUGCCAGUAAGAGCCUGCUCUUGCUGUGCUCUCUAGCGAGACUGCCGGUGAUAAACCGGAGGAAGGUGGGGACGACGUCAAAUCAUCAUGCCCCUUAUGUCCUGGGCUACACACGUGUUACAAUGGGUUGGACAGCGAGCAGCCAACCAGCAAUGGUGAGCAAAUCUCUUAAACCUACUCUCAGCUCGGAUCGCAGUCUGCAACUCGACUGCGGAAGUCGGAAUC